AACUUGUGAGGAGAAACCACCCUUCUAUAUGAACUGACCAAUGACAGACUCACAAGGGGGUGGGUGGUACUGAGUAAUCAGUGGGUGUUUCUGUUUAAUGUGAACCAAUCAAAUGCAUUUUUGUGAUGUUGUAUUUUUAAUAAAACUGAAGUGAGGAGGGCUUGCUCUUCCUGUUUGGGAUUGAAGCUGAGAGAGCUGUUCUGUGAAGCCCUCAGAGGUUCUAUUCUGUGAAGCCCUUAGAGAACAUUAGUGAACGAGCGGCAUUGUGAAGGCCAAAGAACACAACAGACAGAGAGCAAACACACUGGACAAAGUUCAAAAAUAAGAGCAAUUGUUAACCAGAGCCUUCAAGCAGUUUCUUUAUUGAGACACAACUGAAAAAUUGCGUGACACCCCCUCCCAUCAAGGAAAACAGGAAUGCUGAGUUCUCCAAAGAAGACUGGAGAAACCCGGAUUAAUCUGGCUAGAAGACCCUUAAAUAAGGGAUCACCCAAUCCAUAGAUGACACCACAAGCUACUACUGUGAUGCUGCAUUGCAAACAAUGACUCAUGCUCAAUUAUAAAGGUGGCUAUAUGCCCAAGCAAUAAAAGAAAAGUUUAAUUUAACUGAA
This is a long non-coding RNA of Rana temporaria (common frog), 611 nucleotides long. RefSeq lists it as uncharacterized. Lineage: Eukaryota; Metazoa; Chordata; Amphibia; Anura; Ranidae. The record is from RefSeq and is a predicted model, not a curated record. The transcript is spliced from 4 exons.